RNAcentral lists this ribosomal RNA (558 nucleotides) under uncultured bacterium. Its description in RNAcentral is "bacterial SSU rRNA". It matches the Rfam family "Bacterial small subunit ribosomal RNA", at positions 776 to 1345 of the family's 1533-position model. The record is from RNAcentral.
AAAUAGAUACCCCGGUAGUCCACGCCGUAAACGAUGGAUGCUAGCUGUUAUGCGUAUCGACCCGUGUAGUAGCGAAGCUAACGCGUUAAGCAUCCCCGCCUGGGGAGUACGAACGCAAGUUUAAAACUCAAAGGAAUUGACGGGGACCCGCACAAGCGGUGGAGCGUGUUCUUUAAUUCGAGGCUAAGCGAAGAACCUUACCAGGGCUUGACAUCCUUGGAAUUUCUCCGAAAGGAGAGAGUACUUUAUUGGACCUAGUGACAGGUGCUGCAUGGCCGUCGUCAGCUCGUGUCGUGAGAUGUUUGGUUAAGUCCAUUAACGAGCGCAACCCUUAUGAAUAGUUGUAUUUUUCUAUUCAGACUGCCCCGGUAACGGGGAGGAAGGGGGGGAUGGAUGUCAGGUCAGUAUUGCCCUUACGCCCUGGGCUAGAAACGCGCUACAAUGGCCGGUACAAUGCGCUGCCAACCCGCGAGGGGGAGCAAAUCGCAUCAAAGCCGGUCCCAGUUCGGAUAAGAGGCUGAAACUCGCCUCUUUGAAGCCGGAAUCGCUAGUAAUCGU